RNAcentral lists this ribosomal RNA (253 nucleotides) under uncultured bacterium. RNAcentral describes it as "partial 16S ribosomal RNA". It matches the Rfam family "Bacterial small subunit ribosomal RNA", at positions 524 to 776 of the family's 1533-position model. The record is from RNAcentral.
UACGAAGGGGGCUAGCGUUGCUCGGAGUCACUGGGCGUAAAGCGCACGUAGGCGGUCUUUUAAGUCAGGGGUGAAAUCCUGGAGCUCAACUCCAGAACUGCCUUUGAUACUGGGAGACUUGAGUCCGGGAGAGGUGAGUGGAACUGCGAGUGUAGAGGUGAAAUUCGUAGAUAUUCGCAAGAACACCAGUGGCGAAGGCGGCUCACUGGCCCGGUACUGACGCUGAGGUGCGAAAGCGUGGGGAGCAAACAGG